Long non-coding RNA from Colossoma macropomum (tambaqui), 1010 nucleotides. RefSeq lists it as uncharacterized. Lineage: Eukaryota; Metazoa; Chordata; Actinopteri; Characiformes; Serrasalmidae. The transcript has 4 exons. The record is from RefSeq and is a predicted model, not a curated record.
UUCGUCACUAAAUAACUGUCUUCUGUUUGGUGAAAUUCAGUAUUGAUGCUGCAAUGGAUGACGGCACUCUUGGACCACUGGUUAAUGACGACCACAUUAACCCCAACUGUAAAAUGAAGAGACUCGUCGUGGAGGGAAGGCCACAUUUGUGUCUUUUUGCUUUAAGAGACGUAACACCUGGAGAGGAGAUUACGUAUGAUUGUGGAGAUGGUGAUUGUCCCUGGAGGAGUGAGUGACUGUUUUGCUGUUUUCGGUGACAAAAAGUGGAAUGGAAGCAGACAACAAUCAUCUGGAGUCAGGUGGUGCCUCUGGCGAUGAUCAGCAUUGCACCCAGCAUUCACAGCACAAAUCUGCUUUUGGCAUCCAGGUGACAAACAGUGGAGUGGAAGGAGACGGUAAUCGUCUGGAGUCAGAAGGUGCCUCUAGUGAUGAUCACCUUUGCACUCAGCAUUCACAGCACAAAUCUACUUUCUGCAGUCAGGUGAAAAAAAAGUGGAAUGGAAGGAAACGGCCAUCAUCUGGAGUCAGAAGGUGCCUCUAGAGAUGAUCACCACUGCACCCAGCAUUCACAGCACGAGUCUACUUUCUCCAGUCAGGUAUGAAACUGCUCAUUUUCAUAUAUUUUUAACAUGGUAAUUGUUAAGUCCCCACAAUGUACAGUAUAGUCUACCAGUUUUGGCAAAAGAUUCAUUUUAAUCGAUACAUGAAGUGGUGCCCCUCCCCCACGAUUUAAAAAGCCUUACACAAAAUGCUGUAAAUAAACAGCAUCUUUAUGUUUAUUUUUGUUUAGGAUCAUUUUUUACUUUCUACACGUUUAUGCUUUUCGGCCCGGCUUUAGUUGCUACAACACUUACACUUUUGGGCUUCAUUUUGACUUAGGGUUGUUUUCAGUGACAAGAAGUGUAAAGCAAGAUGGAAGUCAAUCAAAAAGUCGAUUACAUUGGGCAAAAGCUGUCCAUUACUUCGAAAUCCUCUUCAUCAGUGGUAAAGUUAGUGAUUUUUCUUAUUGU